CCUACGGGAGGCAGCAGUGGGGAAUAUUGCACAAUGGGGGAAACCCUGAUGCAGCAACGCCGCGUGAGUGAAGAAGUAUUUCGAUAUGUAAAGCUCUAUCAGCAGGGAAGAAAAUGACGGUACCUGAAGAAGAAGCCCCGGCUAACUACGUGCCAGCAGCCGCGGUAAUACGUAGGGGGCAAGCGUUAUCCGGAUUUACUGGGUGUAAAGGGGGCGCAGACGGCGAUGCAAGCCAGGAGUGAAAGCCCGGGGCCCAACCCCGGGACUGCUCUUGGACCUGCGUGGCUAGAGUGCAGGAGGGGCAG
This 305-nucleotide ribosomal RNA is filed under the name uncultured bacterium. RNAcentral describes it as "bacterial SSU rRNA". It matches the Rfam family "Bacterial small subunit ribosomal RNA", at positions 338 to 660 of the family's 1533-position model. The record is from RNAcentral.